This 435-nucleotide ribosomal RNA is filed under the name uncultured bacterium. RNAcentral's name for it is "partial 16S ribosomal RNA". It matches the Rfam family "Bacterial small subunit ribosomal RNA", at positions 29 to 507 of the family's 1533-position model. The record is from RNAcentral.
AACGAACGCUGGCGGCAUGCCUAACACAUGCAAGUCGAACGAUUGCCUUCGGGUGACUGUGGCGCACGGGUGCGUAACGCGUGGGAAUCUGCCCUUAGGUUCGGAAUAACAGCUGGAAACGGCUGCUAAUACCGGAUGAUAUCGCGAGAUCAAAGAUUUAUCGCCUGAGGAUGCGCCCGAGCUGGAUUAGGUAGGUGGUGGGGUAAAGGCGUACCAAGCGGACGAUCCAUAGCUGGACUGAGAGGAUGAGCAGCCACACUGGGACUGGGACACGGCCCAGAAUACUACGGGAGGCAGGAGUGGGGGAUAUUGGAAAACGGGCGCAAGGAUGAACGAGCAAUGCCGGGUGAGUGAUGAAGGCCCGAGGGUUGUAAAGCUCGUUUACCCGGGAAGAUAAUGACGGUACCGGGAGAAUAAGCCCCGGCUAACUCCGUG